RNAcentral lists this ribosomal RNA (3073 nucleotides) under Campylobacter jejuni. Its description in RNAcentral is "bacterial LSU rRNA". It matches the Rfam family "Bacterial large subunit ribosomal RNA". The record is from RNAcentral. Lineage: Bacteria; Pseudomonadati; Campylobacterota; Epsilonproteobacteria; Campylobacterales; Campylobacteraceae. RNAcentral also lists the same sequence under 3 other names.
UAAAAAAAGGUAAGCUACUAAGAGCGAAUGGUGGAUGCCUUGACUGGUAAAGGCGAUGAAGGACGUACUAGACUGCGAUAAGCUACGGGGAGCUGUCAAGAAGCUUUGAUCCGUAGAUUUCCGAAUGGGGCAACCCAAUGUAUAGAGAUAUACAUUACCUAUAUAGGAGCGAACGAGGGGAAUUGAAACAUCUUAGUACCCUCAGGAAAAGAAAUCAAUAGAGAUUGCGUCAGUAGCGGCGAGCGAAAGCGCAAGAGGGCAAACCCAGUGCUUGCACUGGGGGUUGUAGGACUGCAAUGUGCAAGAGGUAAGUUUAGCAGAACAUUCUGGAAAGUAUAACCAUAGAGGGUGAUAGUCCCGUAUGCGAAAAACAAACCUUAGCUAGCAGUAUCCUGAGUAGGGCGGGACACGAGGAAUCCUGUCUGAAUCCGGGUCGACCACGAUCCAACCCUAAAUACUAAUACCAGAUCGAUAGUGCACAAGUACCGUGAGGGAAAGGUGAAAAGAACUGAGGUGAUCAGAGUGAAAUAGAACCUGAAACCAUUUGCUUACAAUCAUUCAGAGCCCUAUGUAGCAAUACAGGGUGAUGGACUGCCUUUUGCAUAAUGAGCCUGCGAGUUGUGGUGUCUGGCAAGGUUAAGCAAACGCGAAGCCGUAGCGAAAGCGAGUCUGAAUAGGGCGCUUAGUCAGAUGCUGCAGACCCGAAACGAAGUGAUCUAUCCAUGAGCAAGUUGAAGCUAGUGUAAGAACUAGUGGAGGACUGAACCCAUAGGCGUUGAAAAGCCCCGGGAUGACUUGUGGAUAGGGGUGAAAGGCCAAUCAAACUUCGUGAUAGCUGGUUCUCUCCGAAAUAUAUUUAGGUAUAGCGUUGUGUCGUAAUAUAAGGGGGUAGAGCACUGAAUGGGCUAGGGCAUACACCAAUGUACCAAACCCUAUCAAACUCCGAAUACCUUAUAUGUAAUCACAGCAGUCAGGCGGCGAGUGAUAAAAUCCGUCGUCAAGAGGGAAACAACCCAGACUACCAGCUAAGGUCCCUAAAUCUUACUUAAGUGGAAAACGAUGUGAAGUUACUUAAACAACCAGGAGGUUGGCUUAGAAGCAGCCAUCCUUUAAAGAAAGCGUAAUAGCUCACUGGUCUAGUGAUUUUGCGCGGAAAAUAUAACGGGGCUAAAGUAAGUACCGAAGCUGUAGACUUGCACACAACUUAGAUUAUUUAAGUUUAGAAUAUGAGAAACUAAGUUAUAUGUUUAGUUAUAUUUUUACUGAUUUUUAUAGAGUAAAGAUAGAAAUAAAACUUAGUAAAAUCAGUAAAAAUAUUCUUAGACUAAAGUUAAGUAGUUUAAGUUGUGUGCAAGUGGUAGGAGAGCGUUCUAUUUGCGUCGAAGGUAUACCGGUAAGGAGUGCUGGAGCGAAUAGAAGUGAGCAUGCAGGCAUGAGUAGCGAUAAUUAAUGUGAGAAUCAUUAACGCCGUAAACCCAAGGUUUCCUACGCGAUGCUCGUCAUCGUAGGGUUAGUCGGGUCCUAAGUCGAGUCCGAAAGGGGUAGACGAUGGCAAAUUGGUUAAUAUUCCAAUACCAACAUUAGUGUGCGAUGGAAGGACGCUUAGGGCUAAGGGGGCUAGCGGAUGGAAGUGCUAGUCUAAGGUCGUAGGAGGUUAUACAGGCAAAUCCGUAUAACAAUACUCCGAGAACUGAAAGGCUUUUUGAAGUCUUCGGAUGGAUAGAAGAACCCCUGAUGCCGUCGAGCCAAGAAAAGUUUCUAAGUUUAGCUAAUGUUGCCCGUACCGUAAACCGACACAGGUGGGUGGGAUGAGUAUUCUAAGGCGCGUGGAAGAACUCUCUUUAAGGAACUCUGCAAAAUAGCACCGUAUCUUCGGUAUAAGGUGUGGUUAGCUUUGUAUUAGGAUUUACUCCGAAAGCAAGGAAACUUACAACAAAGAGUCCCUCCCGACUGUUUACCAAAAACACAGCACUCUGCUAACUCGUAAGAGGAUGUAUAGGGUGUGACGCCUGCCCGGUGCUCGAAGGUUAAUUGAUGGGGUUAGCAUUAGCGAAGCUCUUGAUCGAAGCCCGAGUAAACGGCGGCCGUAACUAUAACGGUCCUAAGGUAGCGAAAUUCCUUGUCGGUUAAAUACCGACCUGCAUGAAUGGCGUAACGAGAUGGGAGCUGUCUCAAAGAGGGAUCCAGUGAAAUUGUAGUGGAGGUGAAAAUUCCUCCUACCCGCGGCAAGACGGAAAGACCCCGUGGACCUUUACUACAGCUUGACACUGCUACUUGGAUAAGAAUGUGCAGGAUAGGUGGGAGGCUUUGAGUAUAUGACGCCAGUUGUAUAUGAGCCAUUGUUGAGAUACCACUCUUUCUUAUUUGGGUAGCUAACCAGCUUGAGUUAUCCUCAAGUGGGACAAUGUCUGGUGGGUAGUUUGACUGGGGCGGUCGCCUCCCAAAUAAUAACGGAGGCUUACAAAGGUUGGCUCAGAACGGUUGGAAAUCGUUCGUAGAGUAUAAAGGUAUAAGCCAGCUUAACUGCAAGACAUACAAGUCAAGCAGAGACGAAAGUCGGUCUUAGUGAUCCGGUGGUUCUGUGUGGAAGGGCCAUCGCUCAAAGGAUAAAAGGUACCCCGGGGAUAACAGGCUGAUCUCCCCCAAGAGCUCACAUCGACGGGGAGGUUUGGCACCUCGAUGUCGGCUCAUCGCAUCCUGGGGCUGGAGCAGGUCCCAAGGGUAUGGCUGUUCGCCAUUUAAAGCGGUACGCGAGCUGGGUUCAGAACGUCGUGAGACAGUUCGGUCCCUAUCUGCCGUGGGCGUAAGAAGAUUGAAGAGAUUUGACCCUAGUACGAGAGGACCGGGUUGAACAAACCACUGGUGUAGCUGUUGUUCUGCCAAGAGCAUCGCAGCGUAGCUAAGUUUGGAAAGGAUAAACGCUGAAAGCAUCUAAGCGUGAAGCCAACUCUAAGAUGAAUCUUCUCUAAGCUCUCUAGAAGACUACUAGUUUGAUAGGCUGGGUGUGUAAUGGAUGAAAGUCCUUUAGCUGACCAGUACUAAUAGAGCGUUUGGCUUAUCUUUAAUAAAGCAU